AGCGCGUGCACUUCUCCCCUAGNACAACACCRCRACCCGUCGUCGUGGCGGUCUCUUAGCGCGUCGGGAGAAGGUCCCGGUGUCCGUCCGCAAGGUCGGCGCCGGAGUCUCCUUGGCGUGCGACCGCCGCUCGACGGUAGARAACGAGGAUCGGAUCCGGCGCUCGUCGCGUCUGGUUCGGCGACGACGUCUCGCGUGUCGUGGGCUUCCGGGCAACCGUUCCCACGGCCCGCACGGAGGCGGUGUCGCCGGGUCGUCUCGGACAGGAUCCGUCCCGGUCGGCGGUGGUUAUGCUUCGGGCACUCACAGGACCCGUCUUGAAACACGGACCAAGGAGUCUAGCAUGUGCGCGAGUCAUAGGGAGCGAAUAGACCCUGAGGCGCAAUGAAAGUGAACGUUAGGGACGAUGSCGAGCGGCCCARGCCG
RNAcentral lists this ribosomal RNA (426 nucleotides) under Chimarra tachuela. RNAcentral describes it as "LSU rRNA". Lineage: Eukaryota; Metazoa; Arthropoda; Insecta; Trichoptera; Philopotamidae. The record is from RNAcentral.